GGUCGACAGAAGCAAGGCAAGGGGCGACCCCCAUUGUUCCAAAACCCUAAAGUCACAAUUUCUUGCAAUUGGAGGCUCAAAUCAUAACCAAAACGAAAUCCAAGCUUAGAAUUGUGUCCCUCAUCGCAAGAGGAUUAAGAGGCAAAGAGUCCGGUUCAUCUAGCGGACAAGUCGAGGGGAAUUCACGAGGAAAAGGCGCGCUUUAAAGUUUUUCAGGUACUCAAGUGAAGGAUGAUGAUCAAGCAGUUGAUUUGGACCGAACACCUAACUUUACGCUUCCGCACUUGAACUUCGUUUUGUUAUUUUGUAAACU
Long non-coding RNA from Helianthus annuus (common sunflower), 313 nucleotides. RefSeq lists it as uncharacterized. NCBI's taxonomy places the organism in Eukaryota, Viridiplantae, Streptophyta, Magnoliopsida, Asterales, Asteraceae. The record is from RefSeq and is a predicted model, not a curated record. The transcript has 3 exons.